GACGAACGCUGGCGGCGUGCUUAACACAUGCGAGUCGAACGGAAAGGCCCCUUUGGGGGUACUCGAGUGGCGAACGGGUGAGUAACACGUGAGUAACCUGCCCUUGCCUUCGGGAUAACUUCAGGUAACUGGGGCUAAUACCGGAUAGGAAUCCUUGCUGCAUGGUGGGGGUUGGAAAGCUUCGGCGGUUUUGGGUGGACUCGCGGCUUAUCAGCUUGUUAGUGGGGUAGUGGCUUACCAAGGCUUUGACGGGUAGCCGGCCUGGGAGGGCGACCGGCCACAUUGGGACUGAGAUACGGCCCAGACUCCGACGGGAGGCAGCAGUGGGGAAUAUUGCACGAGGGGCGGAAGCCGGAUGCAGCAACGCCGCGUGCGGGAUGACGGCCUUCGGGUUGUAAACCGCUUUCAGCAGGGGCGAAGCUUGUGGUGACGGUACCUGCAGAAGAAGCACCGGCUAACUACGUG
This 465-nucleotide ribosomal RNA is filed under the name uncultured bacterium. Its description in RNAcentral is "partial 16S ribosomal RNA". It matches the Rfam family "Bacterial small subunit ribosomal RNA", at positions 28 to 507 of the family's 1533-position model. The record is from RNAcentral.